UAAGAGCCGUGCGGGAGCUCGGGUGAGCCGGGCUGAGAGGCCCCGACGUAGUGGGGGCGACCGUCGGAACCUGAUCUGGGUAAUGCCAGCGUAGGGAAGCGGAAGAGACGCUCUC
This 115-nucleotide non-coding RNA is filed under the name Dehalococcoidia bacterium. RNAcentral describes it as "TPP sequence". It matches the Rfam family "TPP riboswitch aptamer (THI element)". From Rfam's summary of the family: Vitamin B(1) in its active form thiamin pyrophosphate (TPP) is an essential coenzyme that is synthesised by coupling of pyrimidine and thiazole moieties in bacteria. The record is from RNAcentral. Lineage: Bacteria; Bacillati; Chloroflexota; Dehalococcoidia.